GACGAACGCUGGCGGCGUGCUUAACACAUGCAAGUCGAACGCUGAAGCUCAGCUUGCUGGGUGGAUGAGUGGCGAACGGGUGAGUAACACGUGAGUAACCUGCCCUCUUCUUUGGGAUAACGCCCGGAAACGGGUGCUAAUACUGGAUAUUCACUGAUUCUCGCAUGGGGGUUGGUGGAAAGGUUUUUUCUGGUGGGGGAUGGGCUCGCGGCCUAUCAGCUUGUUGGUGGGGUGAUGGCCUACCAAGGCUUUGACGGGUAGCCGGCCUGAGAGGGUGACCGGUCACAUUGGGACUGAGAUACGGCCCAGACUCCUACGGGAGGCAGCAGUGGGGAAUAGUGCACAAUGGGCGAAAGCCUGAUGCAGCGACGCCGCGUGAGGGAUGGAGGCCUUCGGGGUGUAAACCUCCUUCGCUCAUGGUCAAGCCGCAGCUUGGGGUUGUGGUGAGGGUAGUGGGUAAAGAAGCGCCGGCUAACUACGUG
Molecule: ribosomal RNA, 482 nt
Filed under: uncultured bacterium
Lineage: Bacteria
Description: partial 16S ribosomal RNA
Rfam family: Bacterial small subunit ribosomal RNA
Source: RNAcentral